GGUAAAUCCUGCCCAGUGAGUCAUUUAACGGCCGCGGUAUCCUGACCGUGCAAAGGUAGCAUAAUCACUUGCCUAUUAAUUGUAGGCUAGAAUGAAAGGACAAACGAGAAUACACCUGUCUCCUUUAAGCCCCUAAAAAUUUAUCUUUAAGUGAAGAAGCUUAAAUAAACGUGCAGGACAAGAAGACCCUAUAGAGCUUUACCUAUAAGCCACAUAAACAGUGGUUAGCGGUUCGGUUGGGGCGACCAGGGGAUACUAUCCACCCCUAAAUUAUAAGAUCAACUAAUCCUAUCAUAGAUCCUUUAUCAAGAUCAAAGAAUCAAGCUACCUUAGGGAUAACAGGCUAAUCCUCUUAGAGAGCCCUUAUCGACAAGAGGGGUUGGCACCUCGAUGUUGGCUUAGGACGUCUCCAUGUCGCAGCACACAGGCAAGAUGGUUGGUCAACCAUUAAAUUCCUACGUGAUCUGAGUUCAAACCGG
Molecule: ribosomal RNA, 479 nt
Filed under: Tubifex tubifex (sludge worm)
Lineage: Eukaryota; Metazoa; Annelida; Clitellata; Tubificida; Naididae
Description: partial 16S ribosomal RNA
Rfam family: Bacterial large subunit ribosomal RNA
Source: RNAcentral